UCGGUUUAAAGGGUACYAGGCGGCAGAUCAAGCUUAUAACAAAUUAUAAAAGGACUANUCUGCUAGAGUUACUUCUGAGGGGGCUAUAAAGUACUAAUGGUGUAGAGAUGAAAUUCUGUGAUACCUUUUUUCGAAAGAAAAGCUAUGGCACGGGUAUAGGCGAAGGCAUCCCCUUAUGUGAUAACUGACGUUGAGGGACGAAGGCUUCGUAUAACGAACAGGAUUAGAUACCCUGGUAGUUGAGGCAGAAAAUGAUGAAUGUCAUAGAUUAGAUAUAUAAGUUUAUUCUAUAAAUGAAAGUGUAAGCAUUCCACCUCAAGAGUAAUUUGGCAACAUUGGAACUGAAAUCAUUAGACCGUUUCUGAAACCAGUAGUGAAGUAUGUUGUUUAAUUUGACAAUCCGCAAAA
Molecule: ribosomal RNA, 408 nt
Filed under: Bulbothrix laevigatula
Lineage: Eukaryota; Fungi; Ascomycota; Lecanoromycetes; Lecanorales; Parmeliaceae
Description: SSU rRNA
Rfam family: Bacterial small subunit ribosomal RNA
Source: RNAcentral